This 462-nucleotide ribosomal RNA is filed under the name uncultured bacterium. RNAcentral's name for it is "partial 16S ribosomal RNA". It matches the Rfam family "Bacterial small subunit ribosomal RNA", at positions 29 to 523 of the family's 1533-position model. The record is from RNAcentral.
AAUGAACGUUGGCGGCAUGGAUUAGGCAUGCAAGUCGGGGGAAUCCCAGCAAUGGGGGAACCGGCGUAAGGGGCAGUAAGGCAUGGGUACCUACCUUGGGGUUCGGGAUAGCCAUCAGAGAUGGUGGGUAAUACCGGAUGACGUCGUGAGACCAAAGAUUUAUCGCCCUUAGAGGGGCCCAUGUGAUAUUAGCUAGUUGGUGGGGUAACGGCCCACCAAGGCGAAGAUGUCUAGCGGGUGUGAGAGCACGACCCGCGCCACUCGCACUGAGACACUGGCGAGACACCUACGGGUGGCUGCAGUCGAGGAUCUUCGGCAAUGAGCGCAAGCUUGACCGAGCGAUGCCGCGUGAGCGAUGAAGGCCUUCGGGUUGUAAAGCUCUUUAGUGGGGGAGAAAAGCCGCAAGGUGUGAUCUAUCCCAAAAAUAAGCACGGGCUAAGUUCGUGCCAGCCGCCGCCGUAA